GGACAGGUGGCUGAGUGGUCUAAGGCAGCAGCUCGCAAGAGCUGCUGUACAACGUAAGUCGUAUCGGAGUUCGAAUCCUUGCCCUGUCCGCCA
This 93-nucleotide transfer RNA is filed under the name Verrucomicrobiota bacterium. RNAcentral describes it as "Verrucomicrobia bacterium tRNA-OTHER". It matches the Rfam family "tRNA". From Rfam's summary of the family: Transfer RNA (tRNA) molecules are approximately 80 nucleotides in length. Their secondary structure includes four short double-helical elements and three loops (D, anti-codon, and T loops). Lineage: Bacteria; Pseudomonadati; Verrucomicrobiota. The record is from RNAcentral.